GUUCCCGUAGCUCAGUAGGAUAGAGCGCAGGAUUCCUAAUCCUGAGGCCGUGAGUUCGAAUCUCGCCGGGAACGCCA
RNAcentral lists this transfer RNA (77 nucleotides) under Lactobacillaceae bacterium. Its description in RNAcentral is "tRNA-Arg". It matches the Rfam family "tRNA". From Rfam's summary of the family: Transfer RNA (tRNA) molecules are approximately 80 nucleotides in length. Their secondary structure includes four short double-helical elements and three loops (D, anti-codon, and T loops). Further hydrogen bonds mediate the characteristic L-shaped molecular structure. tRNAs have two regions of fundamental functional importance: the anti-codon, which is responsible for specific mRNA codon recognition, and the 3' end, to which the tRNAs corresponding amino acid is attached (by aminoacyl-tRNA synthetases). tRNAs cope with the degeneracy of the genetic code in two manners: having more than one tRNA (with a specific anti-codon) for a particular amino acid; and 'wobble' base-pairing, i.e. permitting non-standard base-pairing at the 3rd anti-codon position. Lineage: Bacteria; Bacillati; Bacillota; Bacilli; Lactobacillales; Lactobacillaceae. The record is from RNAcentral.